AGCUCGGCGAGAUCGAGGCGCUGCUGCGCGCGACGGACGGCGUGCGCGACGCGGUCGUGAUCGUGCGCGACGAGCGGCUCGUCGGCUACGUCGCGUGCGCGACGCCCGCCGGGUUCGACGCGGCCGCGCAGAUCGAGCGGCUGCGCGCGCGACUGCCCGCCUACAUGGUGCCCGCGCAACUCGUCGCGCUCGAUGCGCUGCCCGUCACGCCGAACGGCAAGUGCGAUCGCCGUGCGCUGCCGGCGCCCGUGUUCGACGCGCGCGUCGUCGACGCGCCGCGAACCGCCACCGAGCGCGCGCUCGCGGCGAUCUGGCAGCGCGUGCUGACGCUGCCGGAGCUCGGCCGCGACGACGAUUUCUUCGCGCUCGGCGGCCAUUCGCUGCUCGCCGCGCAGGCGAACGCGCAGGCGAACCUGCAGUGGUCGCUCACGCUGCCGCUGCGCACGAUCUUCGACGAGCGCACGCUUGCGCGCUGCGCGGCGGCGAUCGACCGCGCGCGCGACGCCGGCCGCGAGCGCGACGCCGCGGGCGCGAUCGACGCGCUGCUCGGCGAGCUCGAAGCCCAGUAAGGCACUCAAUCAGGAACACGCAUGAGGAGCACGCAUGAAGGAGCCCGCAUGACCCCCCCCGAUCUGCUGUCGCUCGCCGCGCGUUUCGCGCGGCUGCCCGACACGCAGCGCAAGCAGUUCCUCGCGAAGCUCGGCGACGCGGGAAUCGAUUUCCGGAUGCUGCCGAUUCCGCCGCGCGAGGACCGCGCGGCGAGCGUGCCGGCAUCGUUCGCGCAGACGCGCCUCUGGCUGCACGCGCGCCUGCUCGGCGAAUCGGCCGCGUACCACAUCACCGAGCGGCUGCGCCUCGACGGCGGGCUCGACGCGAACGCGCUGCGGCUGUCGUGCGACGCGCUGAUCGCGCGCCACGAGGCGCUGCGCACGACGUUCGCCGAGGGCGCGGCCGGCGUGCUGCAGACGGUGCACGCGCCGAUGCGCUGCCCGUGGCGCUUCACCGAUCUCGCGGACGCGAGCGCCGGGUCGCGCGAGCAGCGCGCGGCCGCCAUCGCCGAGCGCGACGAGGCCGAGCCGUUCGAUCUCGCGCACGGCCCGCUCGUGCGCGCGCACCUGAUCCGGCUCGAUGCGGCCACGCACUGGUUCGUGCUGACGACGCACCACAUCGUGUCGGACGGCUGGUCGGCCGACGUGAUGCUCGCGGAGCUGUCGUCGUUCUACCGGUCGUACGCGACGGGCGACGCGGUGUCGCUCGCGCCGCUGCCGGUGCAGUACGCGGACUACGCGCUCUGGCAGCGCCGCUGGCUCGACGCGGGCGAGGGCGAGCGCCAGCUCGCGUACUGGCGCGCGACGCUCGACGCGAGCCGUGACGCGCUGCUGCUGCCGGGCGCCGCGACGCGGCCCGCGCAGCGCGGCGCGAGCGGC
This 1427-nucleotide ribosomal RNA is filed under the name Burkholderia mallei 2002721280. RNAcentral's name for it is "16S ribosomal RNA". Lineage: Bacteria; Pseudomonadati; Pseudomonadota; Betaproteobacteria; Burkholderiales; Burkholderiaceae. The record is from RNAcentral.